This 70-nucleotide non-coding RNA is filed under the name Micromonospora marina. Lineage: Bacteria; Bacillati; Actinomycetota; Actinomycetes; Micromonosporales; Micromonosporaceae. The record is from RNAcentral.
GAGAGCCGGAUGAUCGGGAAACCAUCAAGUCCGGUUCGGCGGGAGGCCACACGGAAAAGGGCCAGCUCAC